GUAAACGGCGGCCGUAACUAUAACGGUCCUAAGGUAGCGAAAUUCCUUGUCGGGUAAGUUCCGACCCGCACGAAAGGUGUAACGAUUUGGGCACUGUCUCAACGAGGGACCCGGUGAAAUUGAAAUACCUGUGAAGAUGCAGGUUACCCGCGACUGGACAGAAAGACCCCAUGGAGCUUUACUGUAACCUGACAUUGGGUUUUGAUACAUUACGUACAGGAUAGGUGGGAGGCAUGGAAAGCUGGACGCUAGUCUGGCUGGAGCCGCCGUUGGGAUACCACCCUUGAUGUAUUGAAAUUCUAACCGCGAGAGUAACGAAAUCCGGGACAGUGUCAGGCGGGCAGUUUGACUGGGGCGGUCGCCUCCGAAAGAGUAACGGAGGCGCCCAAAGGUUCCCUCAGCGCGGCCGGAAAUCGCGCGAAGAGUGUAAAGGCAGAAGGGAGCUUGACUGCGAGUCAAACACGACGAGCAGGUACGAAAGUAGGGCUUAGUGAUCCGGUGGUACCGAGUGGAAGGGCCAUCGCUCAACGGAUAAAAGCUACCCUGGGGAUAACAGGCUAAUCUCUCCCAAGAGUCCAUAUCGACGGGGAGGUUUGGCACCUCGAUGUCGGCUCAUCACAUCCUGGGGCUGAAGUCGGUCCCAAGGGUUGGGCUGUUCGCCCAUUAAAGUGGUACGUGAGCUGGGUUCAGAACGUCGUGAGACAGUUCGGUCCCUAUCCAUCGCGGGCGCAAGAGAUUUGAAGGGGGCUGCUCCUAGUACGAGAGGACCGGAGUGGACGAACCGCUGGUGUACCAAUUAUCCCGCCAGGGGUACAGUUGGGUAGCUACGUUCGGAAAGGAUAAACGCUGAAAGCAUCUAAGCGUGAAACCAGCCUUAAGAUGAGAUCUCUCAUAGAGCAAUCUAGUAAGACACCUUAAAGAAGAUGAGGUUGAUAGGUCGGGAGUGUAAGUACAGCAAUGUAUUGAGCGGACCGAUACUAAUAUGUCGAGGGCUUGACUUA
RNAcentral lists this ribosomal RNA (1001 nucleotides) under human metagenome. RNAcentral describes it as "bacterial LSU rRNA". It matches the Rfam family "Bacterial large subunit ribosomal RNA", at positions 1923 to 2925 of the family's 2925-position model. The record is from RNAcentral.